RNAcentral lists this ribosomal RNA (465 nucleotides) under uncultured bacterium. Its description in RNAcentral is "partial 16S ribosomal RNA". It matches the Rfam family "Bacterial small subunit ribosomal RNA", at positions 28 to 507 of the family's 1533-position model. The record is from RNAcentral.
GAUGAACGCUGGCGGCGUGCUUAACACAUGCAAGUCGAACGGAAAGGCUCCUGCUUGCAGGGGUACUCGAGUGGCGAACGGGUGAGUAACACGUGGGUGAUCUGCCCUGCACUUCGGGAUAAGCCUGGGAAACUGGGUCUAAUACCGGAUAGGACGAUGGUUUGGAUGCCAUUGUGGAAAGUUUUUAGGUGUGGGAUGAGCUCGCGGCCUAUCAGCUUGUUGGUGGGGUAAUGGCCUACCAAGGCGUCGACGGGUAGCCGGCCUGAGAGGGUGUACGGCCACAUUGGGACUGAGAUACGGCCCAGACUCCUACGGGAGGCAGCAGUGGGGAAUAUUGCACAAUGGGCGCAAGCCUGAUGCAGCGACGCCGCGUGGGGGAUGACGGCCUUCGGGUUGUAAACUCCUUUCGCUAGGGACGAAGCGCAAGUGACGGUACCUGGAGAAGAAGCACCGGCUAACUACGUG